GUGAGGAAUAUUGGUCAAUGGGCGCAAGCCUGAACCAGCCAUGCCGCGUGCAGGAAGACGGUCCUAUGGAUUGUAAACUGCUUUUAUUUGGGAAUAAACUCCGGUACGUGUACCGGCCUGAAGGUACCAAAUGAAUAAGCACCGGCUAACUCCGUGCCAGCAGCCGCGGUAAUACGGAGGGUGCAAGCGUUAUCCGGAAUCAUUGGGUUUAAAGGGUCCGCAGGCGGUCUUAUAAGUCAGUGGUGAAAGCCUACAGCUCAACUGUAGAACUGCCAUUGAUACUGUAGGACUUGAAUUCGAUCGAAGUGGGCGGAAUGUGACAUGUAGCGGUGAAAUGCUUAGAUAUGUCACAGAACACCGAUAGCGAAGGCAGCUCACUAGGUCUGGAUUGACGCUCAGGGACGAAAGCGUGGGGAGCAAACAGGAUUAGAUACCCGAGUAGUCC
This 445-nucleotide ribosomal RNA is filed under the name uncultured bacterium. RNAcentral describes it as "bacterial SSU rRNA". It matches the Rfam family "Bacterial small subunit ribosomal RNA", at positions 354 to 796 of the family's 1533-position model. The record is from RNAcentral.